GGGGGCGACUGGUUUCGACAUGACAGUUCUGACGGAGGAAGCAGGUCGAGGUCUCCUCACCUCGUUAAACAGGGGUAAAGACGCUCAAGCGUCGACAAUGACUUUGCCCUCGCUGCCUAAUUAGCCAGCGACGCCAACCGGUAUGUGUCCCCGAUACCGCGACGGCGCCACUGAGGGGACUGCUGCGACGGACGUAGACGGUAUGCCGCUCGCAUAAGACCGAACCGACUGGGUGCGGGCACGUGGGUCACCGCAUGUCGCCCAAGCCGAGAUCCAAGUGGUGACUGAGCCUGGAGAUGCCUCCCGGAGGGCUGUUGUGGACGCGAGUUCGACUCUCGCCGCCUCCACCA
Molecule: transfer-messenger RNA, 350 nt
Filed under: Coriobacteriia
Lineage: Bacteria; Bacillati; Actinomycetota
Also listed under: 1 other name
Description: PHET01 sp002841275 X1 Standard tmRNA
Rfam family: transfer-messenger RNA
About the family: Bacterial tmRNA, also known as 10Sa RNA or SsrA, is named for its dual tRNA and mRNA-like properties.
Source: RNAcentral